This 254-nucleotide ribosomal RNA is filed under the name uncultured bacterium. Its description in RNAcentral is "partial 16S ribosomal RNA". It matches the Rfam family "Bacterial small subunit ribosomal RNA", at positions 524 to 776 of the family's 1533-position model. The record is from RNAcentral.
UACGUAGGGGGCAAGCGUUUGUCCGGAAUCAUUGGGCGUAAAGAGCGUGUAGGCGGACUUAAAGGUCUGGUGUGAAAGCCCGGGGCUCAACCCCGGAGGGUCACUGGAAACCAUAAGUCUUGAAUCUGGAAGAGGAGAGUGGAAUUCCUGGUGUAGCGGUGGAAUGCGCAGAUAUCAGGAGGAACACCAAUGGCGAAGGCGGGUCACUGGACCGGCAUUGACGCUGAGGUGCGAAAGCGUGGGGAGCAAACAGG